RNAcentral lists this long non-coding RNA (868 nucleotides) under Brachypodium distachyon (stiff brome). Its description in RNAcentral is "long non-coding RNA (BDIS_LNC001769)". Lineage: Eukaryota; Viridiplantae; Streptophyta; Magnoliopsida; Poales; Poaceae. The record is from RNAcentral.
GGCGGGGCUUUAUAGGGACGCGCUCGGCGAGUUUCAGGAAGGUCGGAAACAGUGUGGCGGCGAUGGCGCACAGCGAAUCCUGCGCGGACUCGGCGCCGUGACGGGCGACGCUUUCCUAACGAGGACGAAGCCUGACAGGUGGGCCCCACCUGUCAGUGGCCGCGGGCACGCACGAGCAGACCGGGCUGGCUCGGUUCGGCUCUGCGCGGUCGGGACUGGGCCGGUUCGGCCCAAAACGGCCGGGCCGGUCUGGUUUCUUCCCUUUUUUUUCUUUUAGCCUUUUCUUUUUCCCUUUUUCUUAUUUCUUUGAUAUCUUUUGAUUUGAACUCCAAAUUGGUCCAAAUAAAUUCCAAUUUUUUUGUAAAAUCAUGUUUUAUCAUGAUUCAACCUUUGGGAGUAAUUUCCCCUCAAAAUAAAAUAUCUAAAAAUGCAUUUUCCCUAUAAAUGCCUUUAGGGCUAUAUAACUAUUUAAAUAAGAUAGUUUUUCAACUCCAAAAAUUAUCCAAAAAAUAUGGGAUAGCUCAUUUAUGCAAUAAACCCCAUUUGUAGUUAAACUCUAUUGGUUUGAAGAUCCAAAGCUCAAAUGGGUGAAAACCCUAGGGUUUAAUUUGAAAUAAAAUCUUUUACAGCCUUUUGAGAUUCAAAUUUGAAUUGAAAUAUGCAAUUGUGGCAUGAUGCUCAUGGAUGCAAUGCACAUGAAAAAGUUUGAAAUUUUUGGGAUGUUACACUUCACGAGUUACUCGCUCAGGGUCAACCCCCUAAGGUAAGCUGACGGUUCCUCCCCCCUUCUAUCUACGAGUUUGUGCUUGCCUUGAUUCCUUUGUUUCUCCGUUGACGCCUUGCAGGGACAGCGCUCCAGCCGGAUCCG